GACGAACGCUGGCGGCGUGCUUAACACAUGCAAGUCGAACGGAAAGGCCCUGCUUUUGUGGGGUGCUCGAGUGGCGAACGGGUGGGUAACACGUGAGUAACCUGCCCUUGACUUUGGGAUAACUUCAGGAAACUGGGGCUAAUACCGGAUAGGAGCUCCUGCUGCAUGGUGGGGGUUGGAAAGUUUCGGCGGUUGGGGAUGGACUCGCGGCUUAUCAGCUUGUUGGUGGGGUAGUGGCUUACCAAGGCUUUGACGGGUAGCCGGCCUGAGAGGGUGACCGGCCACAUUGGGACUGAGAUACGGCCCAGACUCCUACGAGAGGCAGCAGUGGGGAAUAUUGCACAAUGGGCGGAAGCCUGAUGCAGCAACGCCGCGUGCGGGAUGACGGCCUUCGGGUUGUAAACCGCUUUCGCCUGUGACGAAGCGUGAGUGACGGUAAUGGGUAAAGAAGCACCGGCUAACUACGUGCCAGCAGCCGCGGUGAUACGUAGGGUGCGAGCGUUGUCCGGAUUUAUUGGGCGUAAAGGGCUCGUAGGUGGUUGAUCGCGUCGGAAGUGUAAUCUUGGGGCUUAACCCUGAGCGUGCUUUCGAUACGGGUUGACUUGAGGAAGGUAGGGGAGAAUGGAAUUCCUGGUGGAGCGGUGGAAUGCGCAGAUAUCAGGAGGAACACCAGUGGCGAAGGCGGUUCUCUGGGCCUUUCCUGACGCUGAGGAGCGAAAGCGUGGGGAGCGAACAGGCUUAGAUACCCUGGUAGUCCACGCUGUAAACGGUGGGUACUAGGUGUGGGGUCCAUUCCACGGGUUCCGUGCCGUAGCUAACGCUUUAAGUACCCCGCCUGGGGAGUACGGCCGCAAGGCUAAAACUCAAAGGAAUUGACGGGGCCCCGCACAAGCGGCGGAGCAUGCGGAUUAAUUCGAUGCAACGCGUAGAACCUUACCUGGGUUUGACAUGGAUCGGGAGUGCUCAGAGAUGGGUGUGCCUCUUUUGGGGUCGGUUCACAGGUGGUGCAUGGCUGUCGUCAGCUCGUGUCGUGAGAUGUUGGGUUAAGUCCCGCAACGAGCGCAACCCUUGUUCACUGUUGCCAGCACGUUAUGGUGGGGACUCAGUGGAGACCGCCGGGGUCAACUCGGAGGAAGGUGGGGAUGACGUCAAGUCAUCAUGCCCCUUAUGUCCAGGGCUUCACGCAUGCUACAAUGGCUGGUACAGAGAGUGGCGAGCCUGUGAGGGUGAGCGAAUCUCGGAAAGCCGGUCUCAGUUCGGAUUGGGGUCUGCAACUCGACCUCAUGAAGUCGGAGUCGCUAGUAAUCGCAGAUCAGCAACGCUGCGGUGAAUACGUUCCCGGG
Molecule: ribosomal RNA, 1343 nt
Filed under: uncultured bacterium
Lineage: Bacteria
Description: 16S ribosomal RNA
Rfam family: Bacterial small subunit ribosomal RNA
Source: RNAcentral